RNAcentral lists this long non-coding RNA (413 nucleotides) under Mytilus galloprovincialis (Mediterranean mussel). The record is from RNAcentral. Lineage: Eukaryota; Metazoa; Mollusca; Bivalvia; Mytilida; Mytilidae.
GUUGUUCUUAUUUUUAUGUACUUGACCAAGUAUUGACCGAGUUAUAUAUCAUUGUUGAUUUAAUAGUAUUUUAAGAUUGAAGAUCUAUUUUUAAGAUCUGCAUGUAUGUGGCUUAUCUAUCUUUAGCGUACUUAUUGGAAUGUUAACUAGUGAACAAGUACGUACUCUACUAAUGUAUCAGAAUACAUAAUCCGCUUACCGUAUCUUUUUAUCAUAUGACUAUACUUUUUUUAUUUUUUCAUUGGCUAGUGAAAACAUGGGUUAAACCUAAGAAUAAUAAUUGGACAUUGUUGUGCCGUAAAAUGAUGUUUUUAAAAAAAAAUGAUUCAGGAACAAAAAAUAAAACGCACACAACUGAAUAUACAAAAAUCUUUUUAAUAUAACAUCAAUAAAAAAAACUCUAAAAAAUUAAA